This 487-nucleotide ribosomal RNA is filed under the name uncultured Sphingobacteriales bacterium. Its description in RNAcentral is "bacterial SSU rRNA". It matches the Rfam family "Bacterial small subunit ribosomal RNA", at positions 893 to 1382 of the family's 1533-position model. The record is from RNAcentral. Lineage: Bacteria; Pseudomonadati; Bacteroidota; Sphingobacteriia; Sphingobacteriales.
UCAGAAACUUAAAGGAAUUGACGGGGCCCGCACAAGCGGAGGAGCAUGUGGUUUAAUUUCGAUGAUACGCGAGGAACCUUACCUGGGCUCGAACGUAAGAUGACUGUAGGUGAAAGCUUACAUCUCUUCGGAGCAUUUUACGAGGUGCUGCAUGGUUGUCGUCAGCUCGUGCCGUGAGGUGUCGGGUUAAGUCCCAUAACGAGCGCAACCCCUACCUUUAGUUGCCAUCAGGUUAAGCUGGGGACUCUAAAGGAACUGCCUACGCAAGUAGUGAGGAAGCGGGGAUGACGUCAAAUCAGCACGGCCCUUACGUCCAGGGCUACACACGUGCUACAAUGGCCGAUACAGAGGGCAGCUACCUGGUGACAGGAUGCAAAUCUCCAAAGUCGGUCUCAGUUCGGAUCGGAGUCUGCAACCCGACUCCGUGAAGUUGGAAUCGCUAGUAAUCGUGGAUCAGCAUGCCACGGUGAAUACGUUCCCGGGCCUU